GCCCCUGUAGCUCAGCGGGAGAGCGCCUCGCUUACAACGAGGAUGGCGGGAGUUCAAUUCUCUCCAGGGGUAC
This 73-nucleotide transfer RNA is filed under the name Mycolicibacterium alvei. RNAcentral's name for it is "tRNA-Val". It matches the Rfam family "tRNA". From Rfam's summary of the family: Transfer RNA (tRNA) molecules are approximately 80 nucleotides in length. Their secondary structure includes four short double-helical elements and three loops (D, anti-codon, and T loops). Further hydrogen bonds mediate the characteristic L-shaped molecular structure. tRNAs have two regions of fundamental functional importance: the anti-codon, which is responsible for specific mRNA codon recognition, and the 3' end, to which the tRNAs corresponding amino acid is attached (by aminoacyl-tRNA synthetases). tRNAs cope with the degeneracy of the genetic code in two manners: having more than one tRNA (with a specific anti-codon) for a particular amino acid; and 'wobble' base-pairing, i.e. permitting non-standard base-pairing at the 3rd anti-codon position. Lineage: Bacteria; Bacillati; Actinomycetota; Actinomycetes; Mycobacteriales; Mycobacteriaceae. The record is from RNAcentral.